RNAcentral lists this ribosomal RNA (253 nucleotides) under uncultured bacterium. RNAcentral's name for it is "partial 16S ribosomal RNA". It matches the Rfam family "Bacterial small subunit ribosomal RNA", at positions 524 to 776 of the family's 1533-position model. The record is from RNAcentral.
GACGUAGGGCGCGAGCGUUGUCCGGAUUUCUUGGGCGUAAAGAGCUCGUAGGCGGCUCGUUGCGUCGGCUGUGAAAACCCGCGGCUCAACUGUGGGCUUGCAGCUGAUACGGGCGGGCUGGAGUUCGGUAGGGGAGACUGGAAUUCCUGGUGUAGCGGUGAAAUGCGCAGAUAUCAGGAGGAACACCGGUGGCGAAGGCGGGUCUCUGGGCCGAUACUGACGCUGAGGAGCGAAAGCGUGGGGAGCGAACAGG